GACGAACGCUGGCGGCGUGCCUAAUACAUGCAAGUAGAACGCACAGUUUAUACCGUAGCUUGCUACACCAUAGACUGUGGGUUGCGAACGGGUGAGUAACGCGUAGGUAACCUGCCUGGUAGCGGGGGAUAACUAUUGGAAACGAUAGCUAAUACCGCAUAAUAUUGAUUAUUGCAUGAUAAUUGAUUGAAAGAUGCUAUUGCAUCACUACCAGAUGGACCUGCGUUGUAUUAGCUAGUAGGUGAGGUAACGGCUCACCUAGGCGACGAUACAUAGCCGACCUGAGAGGGUGAUCGGCCACACUGGGACUGAGACACGGCCCAGACUCCUACGGGAGGCAGCAGUAGGGAAUCUUCGGCAAUGGACGAAAGUCUGACCGAGCAACGCCGCGUGAGUGAAGAAGGUUUUCGGAUCGUAAAGCUCUGUUGUAAGAGAAGAACGGGUGUGAGAGUGGAAAGUUCACACUGUGACGGUAUCUUACCAGAAAGGGACGGCUAACUACGUG
RNAcentral lists this ribosomal RNA (505 nucleotides) under uncultured bacterium. RNAcentral's name for it is "partial 16S ribosomal RNA". It matches the Rfam family "Bacterial small subunit ribosomal RNA", at positions 28 to 507 of the family's 1533-position model. The record is from RNAcentral.